CGUCAACAUGGUUGCUAAACUAAUCGUCACGCAACCGCUUCUCAAAGUCAGGGUAAUUCGAGAAACCUGCCUAUUUUCCUCGAAAAAUGCACCGGGCGGAGAUUUCCCAUCUCCUCAAAAGUAUCUCUGUCUUAGGUCUCGACGCUCUGUGAUCGAAAAGCCUGUUUAAUCGAGUAAGCACAAUCGACCGCAUAACCAGGUCUAGAUAGCAGGCAGGAUUAUCUCAUUAAAUAGUUUGAUGAAAAUA
Long non-coding RNA from Coregonus clupeaformis (lake whitefish), 247 nucleotides. RefSeq lists it as uncharacterized. The transcript is spliced from 2 exons. The record is from RefSeq and is a predicted model, not a curated record. NCBI's taxonomy places the organism in Eukaryota, Metazoa, Chordata, Actinopteri, Salmoniformes, Salmonidae.